GAAUUUAUAUAUUGCAAAAAAUUCAGCGGUGAUAUGCACAUCUUAGAGAAAAUUUUAAAAUAAUGUCAAGAUAAAUUCUUGACCCAAGUACAUGGGAGUACAGAACUCAGAACAUGUAAGAUUGUAACUUAUCCCAGUCCCAAGUAAGAGGGUCAGGAUACCACAUAUCCGACAAUGCUUUCCUCCAAUGUCUUGAGCUUCCUUGCACAUAGCUCAGACCUGCACAACAAAUAUUUAUAAGAUGGUGAUAAUGCAACCUGGCUACCUGAGACUCAAGUAAUUUUUUGUAUGCACCGAGGAUAAUAAACAAUGAAAAACAUUACACUAAUUGGUUAGGACCAGAAAAGGAAGUCAAGGCCAAGUACACUAUCAUCUCGCAAGUAUUGGCAACAUCUUGCUUGCUCCUGGUCAUUUCACCAAAGGAUAGAAAAAUACUCCCUCCAUCCCAAAAUAAGUGACUCAACUUUGUACUAACUUUGUACUAAAGCUAGUACAAAGUUGAGUCACUUAUUUUGAGACGGAGGGAUUAGUAAUCAAUUUGCAGACUAAUAAUUCUCACACAACAGUAAAGUAAGAUUGGUUCUUUCCAUCUCCAGCUCAGCGACAAGCACUGUAACAAUAAGCAUAUUUAUGCAACGAUAAAAAUCAGCAAGCAAUUGUCGUCUUGCCGCCCUUCUCGUCAGGGUGGGUGAGGGGGCUUGUAAUGUGUCCCAUGGCACGAGCAUCAAGCAUGGCCCCGAGCCAUCAUGUAGACAACCAGCGAAGUUCCCCAUCACUUGGCACCAUAUGAUUUCUAUUACCAUGUGGACAAAUAUUUACCUGAUAAGCACUUAAAGAAAGAAAAAUAGUCUGUCAUUCCUAUGAGCUGAUAAGUAGAUCAUCAUAUCCUUCUUUUCGCACAUGCACACCCUCUUAUUGUAGAGAUGGUGUGGGUAACAAAGAAGUUUUGCCUAUCGGUGCUGUGCAUUGCGAGAAACCUCCAGCAACAGUGAUUCUUGAUGAGAAUCCUUCCCUGGAGUGGCCAUCGAGGAUGAUAAUUCAUAUUGGGGGUAAUAUGAACAGGUUAAGUGAUACUGCUCCUCCUUUUGAGUGGGAUUGCCGAGUUAUGCCAGAAAUGAGUUUUUUUCUGAACUGAGAAGAAGCUUGUUUAGGUCUCCUCUUGAUUCUGCAUCUUCAUGAACAAAACAAAAUUACAAGAAAUCCCCAUGUUACAUGAAAUAAGCCAAAGAAAGAAACUGCAAAAAUCUAGAAAAAAAUAUGUGUAGUGGAGAACCAGAGGAAUCAACCAAGCCAGUUGACUUAUGAAGCUUUGAGAGACUUCAUGGGUGGACCUGGGUAAGCCCUUUGGGAGGGUGUUUGGUGGGGGUGGGCUUUGAUCGAUGGGACUAAUGAAACAAACGAAACAACCUAGGUACUCCCCUUUAUAUUAGAGGUUUUACACACAAAUCAAGCAAUUGAUGUUUCUGCAACUGAAUGUGCCACGACGCUCUCUCUUUCUCCAAGUCCAGUGCCUUUUCGAUUUUUGGAUCCCUUCUUCUCCAAGUCCUGCUCCCUUGUUCCUUGUACUCCUAGCUCAAGCAGUCCAAAAAAAUAUUACUCUAAAUAUAUAUAUAUAUAUAUAUAUAUAUAUAUAUAUUGCUUAUCAUGUAAGUCAAGUAUGUGAUAUCUCCAGAAACAUAAACUGGCUAGUUCAGUUUUUAGAAGUCAUUUAUCACCUGUAUUAUGUUCAAAUUACUUGUGUCCUAGUGUGCCAGUGAAAAAAAUAUGUUAUCGUUGAAGAAAGUGCAAAAAAUGACAUUCAGGCUUACAAACCUACAUUGAGCCAAUCCUCUGCUCAGUCAUCCAUUGCCGAUGAUGGCCAUGAUAGAAUAUGAAUACGUAAUUGUUAUUUGUAUUACACAUCAGUGCAUAGUUAUACAAGUUUAUUAUGCAGCAAACCAUAUGCGAAAAAAUCAGCAACGAGAAACCUAUCUACGAAACACCAUUGGAAUCACUAUCGAUUUCAUAUUCCAUUUUAAUGCCAUUGAUGCUACAUUUUUAUUAAUAUUUCAACAUAUUUAAAGGACCUUUGGUCCUUUAGGACUAACUGUUGCGAGAAUAGAAGAGUUUACAUGACUCGGGAUCAAUUCAGCACUUUCGAGCUUACAGCCUACAAUUACUUUCAGCGAAGCCAAAUAAUGGUUGAUGGAGCACAAUGUCACUUCAAAUUAUGGUCACAGCAGCAUACAAGUUUCUUAGGCCAAGAUUAGUACCACUCUUGAAAUAAAAACAAAUUGUUGGGAUCACAACAAAGUAAAUUAUGAAACAAAAAGAAUCAGUGUCUAGCUUUUAAUCAGUCGACUCCGAAAGCACCUGGUUGAGCUUCCAUAAUACCUGAACGAAUGACCUCUCAGUUCACAAGACAGAGAAACAAUACAUUGACUGGAAUAAAACAACACAAGCAUUAUUUCUUGACAGGACCAAUAUUCUCUACCUCACCUUCACUUUUUUCAAAUUCUUAAUUUAAUUACUUGGUCCAUGAAAAAAGACACAUCUUGGUAAGCCAUUGGAGCUUGGCAACUAAAAGAGGCAUUCAUCAGAACAGACUGUUUCAAACACAAAAUCAGCAUAUCUACAUUGUAGCUAUUUUAUCAUUCCAAGUAACAAAGUAGCUUCCUUGAUAAAUGCAUGAAAACUAAAAAAGGGACUGGUGAUAGUCAUCUUGGUUUAAAUUAAAUUAGAAAUAGCUGCAUGAAAGUAUCUUUUGGUUGGCUCAGACAGGGAAAAUAUUAAUAGUCCAAAAAAUUGUAAGAAAGAUGCAGUUACCUUUAACUGGUCCAACACAACUGACAUAAAGAAGGGCCAUCAUGAUGCAGGCUCGGUAAUCUACUGCCUCAAUCCGUUGUAAGGGUAACUUUAUUUGUAAGAGAUAGUACCAUUAUUAGUUUUAGUGGUCUUAUUAUUAAUUGGCUAGAUAUCUGAAAUGGCAAAUAUUGGCUUCGCUACUCAGCACUCACUCGUUUAUGCAAUUGUGGCUGAAUUUAAUCUGUCAGUGAUUCCAAUUCUUUUACAUAAUGGUUCAGAAAAGCAUCUCCAUUUGUGAUAAUUUGAAAGAAACUUGUUAAAUCUCCCAAAAAAGACCAAAGAACAAUGAAGAAAAAAUGGGCUACAGUCAUUAGAAAGUCACAACAAUAUUGUAAAGAUAGUUGAUCCAGCGGGGCAUCAAGCCUUACCUCUGUUUGGAGCUUGUCAAGCAGGUGGCUUUGUUCCAUGGCAUGGACGAGAUGAUCCUGUACAUCAUAUGCGCCCCUGAUAUU
Molecule: long non-coding RNA, 3296 nt
Filed under: Triticum aestivum (bread wheat)
Lineage: Eukaryota; Viridiplantae; Streptophyta; Magnoliopsida; Poales; Poaceae
Description: long non-coding RNA (TAES_LNC017818)
Source: RNAcentral